GUAUCCGUGGUGUUCAGCACCAGGGACAGGUGUGUUUACCUGAGUAUCUGUGGUGUUCAGCACCAGGGACAGGUGUGUUUACCU
This 84-nucleotide microRNA precursor is filed under the name Branchiostoma floridae (Florida lancelet). RNAcentral's name for it is "mir-2060 microRNA precursor family". It matches the Rfam family "mir-2060 microRNA precursor family", at positions 11 to 94 of the family's 94-position model. Lineage: Eukaryota; Metazoa; Chordata; Leptocardii; Amphioxiformes; Branchiostomatidae. The record is from Rfam by way of RNAcentral.